This 253-nucleotide ribosomal RNA is filed under the name uncultured bacterium. RNAcentral's name for it is "partial 16S ribosomal RNA". It matches the Rfam family "Bacterial small subunit ribosomal RNA", at positions 524 to 776 of the family's 1533-position model. The record is from RNAcentral.
UACGGGGGGGGCAAGCGUUGUUCGGAAUUACUGGGCGUAAAGGGCUCGUAGGCGGCCAACUAAGUCAGACGUGAAAUCCCUCGGCUUAACCGGGGAACUGCGUCUGAUACUGGUUGGCUUGAAUCCGGGAGAGGGAUGUGGAAUUCCAGGUGUAGCGGUGAAAUGCGUAGAGAUCGGGAGGAACACCAGCGGCGAAGGCGGCGACCUGGACAGUUACUGACACUCAACUACGAAAGCGUGGGGAGCAAACAGG